UGGCUCAGGACGAACGCUGGCGGCGUGCCUAACACAUGCAAGUCGAACGGAGCUGGCCCCGCAAGGGACUGGCUUAGUGGCGAACGGGUGAGUAACGCGUGAGGAACCUGCCUUUCAGUGGGGGACAACAGUUGGAAACGACUGCUAAUACCGCAUGACGCUUCUUGGGGGCAUCCCUGAGGAGUCAAAGCUUUAUGUGCUGAAAGAUGGCCCGCGGCGCAUUAGCUAGUUGGUGAGGUAACGGCUCACCAAGGCGACGAUGCGUAGCCGACCUGAGAGGGUGAUCGGCCACAUUGGGACUGAGACACGGCCCAAACUCCUACGGGAGGCAGCAGUGGGGGAUAUUGCACAAUGGAGGAAACUCUGAUGCAGCGACGCCGCGUGAGUGAAGAAGUGUUUCGGUAUGUAAAGCUCUAUCAGCAGGGAAGAUAAUGACAGUACCUGACCAAGAAGCCCCGGCUAACUACGUG
This 470-nucleotide ribosomal RNA is filed under the name uncultured bacterium. Its description in RNAcentral is "bacterial SSU rRNA". It matches the Rfam family "Bacterial small subunit ribosomal RNA", at positions 20 to 507 of the family's 1533-position model. The record is from RNAcentral.